RNAcentral lists this ribosomal RNA (496 nucleotides) under uncultured bacterium. RNAcentral's name for it is "partial 16S ribosomal RNA". It matches the Rfam family "Bacterial small subunit ribosomal RNA", at positions 29 to 507 of the family's 1533-position model. The record is from RNAcentral.
AUGCACGCUGGCGGCGUGCCUCAUACCUGCAAGUCGAGCGCACAGACGAGGAGCUUGCUCCUCUGACGUUAGCGGCGGACGGGUGAGUAACACGUGGAUAACCUACCUAUAAGACUGGGAUAACUUCGGGAAACCGGAGCUAAUACCGGAUAAUAUAUUGAACCGCAUGGUUCAAUAGUGAAAGACGGUUUUGCUGUCACUUAUAGAUGGAUCCGCGCCGCAUUAGCUAGUUGGUAAGGUAACGGCUUACCAAGGCGACGAUGCGUAGCCGACCUGAGAGGGUGAUCGGCCACACUGGAACUGAGACACGGUCCAGACUCCUACGGGAGGCAGCAGUAGGGAAUCUUCCGCAAUGGGCGAAAGCCUGACGGAGCAACGCCGCGUGAGUGAUGAAGGUCUUCGGAUCGUAAAACUCUGUUAUUAGGGAAGAACAAAUGUGUAAGUAACUAUGCACGUCUUGACGGUACCUAAUCAGAAAGCCACGGCUAACUACGUG